ACGCAGUUUUCUAUCACGCAAGCUAAAGUGUUUUAUUAUAAUAAAGAUUGUUUUUACUACGUAGAUUAAAUUAAAGAAUUAUAUAUGAAUAAUGGAGUUUUAUAUCGAAAAUAGUGAACCUUCCGAUUUCGUCAAAAAUCACUCCAUGGGAAGCCCGGGUGUUGAAAAUCGGAACGGAAAGCUUGCAAUUGGUUGAUUUCCUCCAUUCCGCCUUUCCGAUUUCGUUUUCCGAGGCCAAUGGGAUAGCACCCUAACAGAAGUGCGUGUGGCGGUUGACCUGCCGCCACAUACAGGACAGCCUCCCCCUCCCUCCCCCUUAGGAUUUCUCUCGACUUGCAUUUACACUCCGUCGCCAAGAAAAUAAUUAAGGAAAGCAGAAUGGAUUUCAGCCAACAGUUUUCUUAUAUAGAUGGAACAACUAUUUGAAACACAUCACCUGUGCUUGAACGCAAGAGUUUCAACACAAGAGUUGAUGUACACUUGUUUAAUUAGAAAUUCUGUUCAAUAGGAAAAAUUGAAAUAUUGUGAGAUAUGAUCACUUUUUUAUGAGAUCUAAUGUUAAUAUAAUCAUUUAGUUCUGCACAGGUUUGUUUAGCAGUACAUUAAUGGUAAGUACUCUAAGUAAAAUAAUAUAGUACAGUAAAAUGUGAAAUAAUUAAAAAUUAUUAUGCAUUACGUAUUAAAAAUUUUGCAAGAUUGUAUAAAAAAACUACGUAACUUUAUUUUAAAUGAUUAUUUGUGUUAAAAUCAAAAUUAAAUAAAUAUAUUAUAAGUGUUGUAUAGUUGUUAUAUUAUUUAUAUGCUAUAUAAAAUAGAUAAUUACUAGUCAAAUACUGGUUCUAACAAUUCCUUUUGAUGUAUCUUUUCAGACAAGAAGAUUUUAAAGUGCUUUAGUCUAGCAACAUUAACUCACAGUAUAUUUAACAUGUAUAAACCGAUUUUCAGGAAUUCAUGAACAAUUCUUGGUAAGAAAUUCAUCUUUUAUAUAAUGAUAUAUAAAUACUUUUAUAGAAUAUUUUGUUUAGAGUAAAUAAUGUAAUAUUAAAAUUUGCAUGAAAAUAUAUAUAUUUUUAUGAUAAAUAAUGAUAAAUAU
Long non-coding RNA from Monomorium pharaonis (pharaoh ant), 1093 nucleotides. RefSeq lists it as uncharacterized. Lineage: Eukaryota; Metazoa; Arthropoda; Insecta; Hymenoptera; Formicidae. The record is from RefSeq and is a predicted model, not a curated record. The transcript is spliced from 3 exons.